GUGGGGAAUCUUAGACAAUGGGGGCAACCCUGAUCUAGCCAUGCCACGUGAGUGAUGAAGGCCUUAGGGUUGUAAAGCUCUUUCAGUGGGGAAGAUAAUGACGGUACCCACAGAAGAAGCCCCGGCUAACUCCGUGCCAGCAGCCGCGGUAAUACGGAGGGGGCUAGCGUUGUUCGGAAUUACUGGGCGUAAAGCGCACGUAGGCGGAUCGGAAAGUUGGGGGUGAAAUCACAGGGCUCAACCCUGGCACUGCCUUCAAAACUAUCGGUAUGGAGUCCGAGAGAGGUGAGUGGAAUUCCGAGUGUAGAGGUGAAAUUCGUAGAUAUUCGGAGGAACACCAGUGGCGAAGGCGGCUCACUGGCUCAGUACUGACGCUGAGGUGCGAAAGCGUGGGGAGCAAACAGGAUUAGAUACCCCAGUAGUCC
Molecule: ribosomal RNA, 425 nt
Filed under: uncultured bacterium
Lineage: Bacteria
Description: partial 16S ribosomal RNA
Rfam family: Bacterial small subunit ribosomal RNA
Source: RNAcentral